Molecule: ribosomal RNA, 441 nt
Filed under: uncultured bacterium
Lineage: Bacteria
Description: partial 16S ribosomal RNA
Rfam family: Bacterial small subunit ribosomal RNA
Source: RNAcentral
UAGGGAAUUUUCGUCAAUGGGCGCAAGCCUGAACGAGCAAUGCCGCGUGAGCGAAGAAGGUCUUCGGAUCGUAAAACUCUGUUGCGGGGGAAAAAUGGAAGGAAAGAGGAAAUGCUUUUUCUUUUGAUGGUACCCCGCCAGAAAGUCACGGCUAACUACGUGCCAGCAGCCGCGGUAAUACGUAGGUGGCAAGCGUUAUCCGGAAUGAUUGGGCGUAAAGGGUGCGCAGGCUGCGCGUCAAGUCUGAAGUGAAAGGUACGGGCUUAACCGGUACAGGCUUUGGAAACUGGCACGCUAGAGGACAGGAGAGGGCGGUGGAACUCCAUGGGUAGCGGUAAAAGUGCGUAGAUAUCACGAAGAACUCCGAUUGCGAAGGCAGCCUGCUAAGCUGCAACUGACAUUGAGGCUCGAAAGUGUGGGUAUCAAACAGGAUUAGAUACC